CUAGUCGUGCGCCUCCAAGCCACGGUGGAGGCGCGGCACACAGCUCAGUAACACGUGGCUAACCUACCCUUGGGACGGGGACAACUCCGGGAAACUGGAGCUAAUCCCCGAUAGGUGAAGACUCCUGGAAUGGGUCUUCGCCGAAAAGACGCCUAAACCAUGCUUUUAGGCGCCGCCCAAGGAUGGGGCCGUGGCCGAUCAGGUUGUUGGUGAGGUAACGGCUCACCAAGCCUAUAACCGGUACGGGCCGUGGGAGCGGGAGCCCGGAGAUGGGUACUGAGACAAGGGCCCAGGCCCUACGGGGCGCAGCAGUCGCGAAAACUCCGCAAUACACGAAAGUGUGACGGGGCCAUCCCGAGUGCCAUCCGCUGAGGAUGGCUUUUCCCCAGUGUAGACAGCUGAGGGAAUAAGGAGAGGGCAAGUCGGGUGUCAGCCGCCGCGGUAAUACCCGCUCUCCGAGUGGUGGGGACGCUUAUUGGGCCUAAAGCAUCCGUAGCCUGUUGGAUAAGUCCCCUGUUAAAUCCAGCGAUUCAAUCGUUGGACUGCGGGGGAUACUGUCCAGCUAGGGGGCGGGAGAGGCCGACGGUAUUCCCGGAGUAGGGGUGAAAUCUUAUAAUCCCGGGAGGACCACC
RNAcentral lists this ribosomal RNA (632 nucleotides) under uncultured archaeon. RNAcentral's name for it is "bacterial SSU rRNA". It matches the Rfam family "Archaeal small subunit ribosomal RNA", at positions 54 to 661 of the family's 1478-position model. The record is from RNAcentral.